Molecule: ribosomal RNA, 468 nt
Filed under: uncultured bacterium
Lineage: Bacteria
Description: partial 16S ribosomal RNA
Rfam family: Bacterial small subunit ribosomal RNA
Source: RNAcentral
GACGAACGCUGGCGGCGUGCUUAACACAUGCAAGUCGAACGGAGAAGCUCCAGCUUGCUGGAGUGGAUCAGUGGCGAACGGGUGAGUAACACGUGAGCAACCUGCCCCUGACUCUGGAAUAAGCGCUGGAAACGGCGGCUAAUACUGGAUACGAGAAGGGUCCGCAUGGGCACUUUCUGGAAAGUUUGUCGGUUGGGGAUGGGCUCGCGGCCUAUCAGCUUGUUGGUGAGGUAGUGGCUCACCAAGGCGACGACGGGUAGCCGGCCUGAGAGGGCGACCGGCCACACUGGGACUGAGACACGGCCCAGACUCCUACGGGAGGCAGCAGUGGGGAAUAUUGCACAAUGGGCGGAAGCCUGAUGCAGCGACGCCGCGUGAGGGAUGACGGCCUUCGGGUUGUAAACCUCUUUCAGCAGGGAAGAAGCGAAAGUGACGGUACCUGCAGAAGAAGCACCGGCUAACUACGUG